Carassius carassius (crucian carp) is the source of this 1226-nucleotide long non-coding RNA. RefSeq lists it as uncharacterized. Lineage: Eukaryota; Metazoa; Chordata; Actinopteri; Cypriniformes; Cyprinidae. The record is from RefSeq and is a predicted model, not a curated record. The transcript has 4 exons.
GUACGAUUAAGUGACAAAAAGAGGGACCCUCAGAGCCAGAACUCUGAGAGAUUUAUCAUAAACGCUGUGGAGGAGCAAGAACACCAGAGUGAUGGACAAAGCAAUUCGUCAGAAGCCCAAACUGCGGAGGACAAAGACCUGUGGCCUGCUGAUAUAGCGAGCCAUCACAAAGCUCUCUAGAUUCCAACUCCACAACGUCCUCCUUCAAUACAGGGAGCACUGAAGCUGAAUCUACCUGUAGUUUCUGUGACAACCAGACAGGAAGUGAAGAUGGAAGCCCAGGGAGAGAUAUGUUGGAUACACCUCCAUCCGGAUCAGGAAUUCUUCUGAAAGACCCCAUGCUUGGAGCUUUUCCGGCUGCAUGGAAAAAGCGUUUCCCUUUCAGCCCUACGCUGCCAAAAACACCAGUACUGCCUUUGCGUCCACCCCUUCGGGAAGCACACAGCCUGACUCUCAACCCAUCUUCGCUUAUAUCCCCUUCUUAAGGCCUGAGCUGUUCUCUCCAUCCAGAUGGACGGAGGUGUCCAUAAUCCAUAUAGGCCUACACAUAUUUUAUUGGAUAUUCAUUCUGUACUAAUAUAGACUAGCAUGUAUACUACACUCAGUAAAAAGCUACAACAGUAAUGUCACUGGGGCAGUACCGUUUCAAAAAGUACACCUUUGUACCUUCUUUAUCCUUAAAAGGUGCAUAAUAGUAGUUUAAAGGUACAUAUUAGUGCCUUUUAGAAGUGCACCACCCCACUGACGGCUUUUGAGCCUUUUUCUGAGCAUGUAUUAUGUAAAUAGAUGUAUUGUUUUAUGAAUAAUGUAUUGUUAAAAACUUUUAGCACAUUACUGACAGUGUGAAAUUACAAACAACACAGUGUUGCUGUAAUGCUGACUGAAUAUUAUAUUUUUUUUACCCUAACAGCAUUAUUUGAGGACAUGUGGGUCACCCCAGAAUCUACCGUCUUAAAAAGUCCCAGCUUGCCAGGCAGCUCUGCAAAUGACUCUGUAACUUCAGUCAUGAAGGCUGGAAGUGGCAUUAAUCUGUCCUUCAAGAGUGAGGAAGAGAACAAAAGCUCGGAAGAUGAGACCCCAGGACAACCCAUUCCCCUGAAGAGAGCAAGAAAGGUCUGUUCACACAGGCACACUUCAAGAAGAGGACGUGUUACAACACAGCCAAAACUCAGGAAGAAAUGUGUGAACGGCUUCAUUAUGUUCUGCUGAAUAAACAGAAAAUUAUA